GUCUUCUACCGGCCCUCUCUUUUCACUUACUUCACCGCUCCUUCCCCUGCCUUAUGCGGAACUCUACCAACAAGCCAGCCUACUUCUUGGCAUCAACCGGUGCGCCUUCUUCGGUAAAGGACUGUCUUCUUCCUCGAGUGCUUUAGUAGGGGCAGAUGGAAGGAGCCUAAUGUCUUAGCUGUUUUAGUGCACUUGUGUCCAUCUUCAGUAGGUAGACAUGACUAUAAG
Molecule: long non-coding RNA, 228 nt
Filed under: Nicotiana benthamiana
Lineage: Eukaryota; Viridiplantae; Streptophyta; Magnoliopsida; Solanales; Solanaceae
Description: long non-coding RNA (NBEN_LNC015744)
Source: RNAcentral